UGACCAUCUUUCCCAUCAAAGGGAAGAUACAUGGCCAUACGGACAGCCGGGUCAAAUGCCGA
RNAcentral lists this small RNA (62 nucleotides) under unclassified sequences. RNAcentral describes it as "Streptococcus sRNA SpF59 (ldcC RNA)". It matches the Rfam family "Streptococcus sRNA SpF59 (ldcC RNA)". The record is from Rfam by way of RNAcentral.